CGUUCCUGUUGGAUGGUACGGCUACCGCAGCUGGUGCAAUUGCAUCCGUAGCA
Molecule: unclassified non-coding RNA, 53 nt
Filed under: soil metagenome
Description: partial internal transcribed spacer 1
Source: RNAcentral